RNAcentral lists this ribosomal RNA (1713 nucleotides) under Legionella pneumophila. RNAcentral describes it as "partial 23S ribosomal RNA". It matches the Rfam family "Bacterial large subunit ribosomal RNA", at positions 1231 to 2925 of the family's 2925-position model. Lineage: Bacteria; Pseudomonadati; Pseudomonadota; Gammaproteobacteria; Legionellales; Legionellaceae. The record is from RNAcentral.
GGGGAGCGUUCUGUAGGCUGAUGAAGGUGCAUUGAGAAGUGUGCUGGAGGUAUCAGAAGUGCGAAUGCUGACAUGAGUAACGAUAAUGUGGGUGAAAAGCCCACACGCCGGAAGUCCCAGGUUUCCUGCACGACGUUAAUCGGAGCAGGGUGAGUCGGCCCCUAAGGCGAGGCUGAAGAGCGUAGUCGAUGGGAACCAGGUUAAUAUUCCUGGACUUUUUAUAAGUGGUGAAGUGGGGACGAAGAAGGCUAGGUGAGCCAGGCGUUGGUUGUCCUGGUACUUGCAUGUAGGGGGGAAGACUUGGCAAAUCCGGUUUUCCAUAACUCUGAGGUGCGAAGUGGUUCUGACCUUUUGGUACAGAGAAGUCAUUGAUGCCCGGCUUCCAGGAAAAGCUGCUAGCCAUAACUUAUAGAGAACCGUACCGCAAACCGACACAGGUGGACAGGUAGAGAAUACUAAGGCGCUUGAGAGAACUCGGGUGAAGGAACUAGGCAAAAUGGUACCGUAACUUCGGGAGAAGGUACGCCCUUUUGGGUGAGGGCAUUUACUGUCUGAGCUUAAGAGGGCCGCAGAGACCAGGUGGCUGCGACUGUUUAUUAAAAACACAGCACUCUGCAAAUUCGUAAGAAGACGUAUAGGGUGUGACGCCUGCCCGGUGCCGGAAGGUUAAUUGAUGGGGUUAUCUUCGGAGAAGCUCUUGAUCGAAGCCCCGGUAAACGGCGGCCGUAACUAUAACGGUCCUAAGGUAGCGAAAUUCCUUGUCGGGUAAGUUCCGACCUGCACGAAUGGCGUAACGAUGGCCACACUGUCUCCACCCGAGACUCAGUGAAAUUGAAAUCGCUGUGAAGAUGCAGUGUACCCGCGGCUAGACGGAAAGACCCCGUGAACCUUUACUAUAGUUUUGCACUGGACUUUGAUGAUGACUGUGUAGGAUAGGUGGGAGGCUGUGAAGUGAGGACGCUAGUUCUCAUGGAGCCGCCCUUGAAAUACCACCCUGUUGUUAUUGAGGUUCUAACUUGGUCCAGUAAUCCUGGAUGAGGACAGUGUAUGAUGGGUAGUUUGACUGGGGCGGUCUCCUCCCAAAGAGUAACGGAGGAGCACAAAGGUACCCUCGGUACGGUCGGACAUCGUACCAAGAGUGUAAAGGCAAAAGGGUGCUUGACUGCGAGAGUGACGGCUCGAGCAGGAACGAAAGUUGGUCUUAGUGAUCCGGUGGUUCUGAAUGGAAGGGCCAUCGCUCAACGGAUAAAAGGUACUCCGGGGAUAACAGGCUGAUACCGCCCAAGAGUUCAUAUCGACGGCGGUGUUUGGCACCUCGAUGUCGGCUCAUCACAUCCUGGGGCUGAAGCAGGUCCCAAGGGUAUGGCUGUUCGCCAUUUAAAGUGGUACGCGAGCUGGGUUUAGAACGUCGUGAGACAGUUCGGUCCCUAUCUGCCGUGGGCGUAGGAAAAUUGAGAGGAGCUGCUCCUAGUACGAGAGGACCGGAGUGGACGAACCUCUGGUGCACCGGUUGUCACGCCAGUGGCAUGGCCGGGUAGCUAAGUUCGGACGGGAUAACCGCUGAAAGCAUCUAAGCGGGAAGCCUCCCUCAAGAUGAGUUUUCCCAUGAAGCCCGUUGAAGACUACGACGUUGAUAGGCAAGGUGUGGAAGCGCAGUAAUGCGUGAAGCUAACUUGUACUAAUUGGCUGAUUGUCUUGACCAUAUAAUCUGAG